This 27-nucleotide non-coding RNA is filed under the name Rattus norvegicus (Norway rat). The record is from RNAcentral. Lineage: Eukaryota; Metazoa; Chordata; Mammalia; Rodentia; Muridae.
UAAAGGUGACAGUCUGUUUCUACAGAG